This 422-nucleotide ribosomal RNA is filed under the name uncultured bacterium. RNAcentral's name for it is "bacterial SSU rRNA". It matches the Rfam family "Bacterial small subunit ribosomal RNA", at positions 354 to 774 of the family's 1533-position model. The record is from RNAcentral.
GUAAGGAAUAUUGGUCAAUGGACGCAAGUCUGAACCAGCCAUGCCGCGUGAAGGAUGAAGGUCCUCUGGAUUGUAAACUUCUUUUAUCUGGGACGAAAACGGGAUUUUUAUCUCAAUUGACGGUACCAGAGGAAUAAGCACCGGCUAACUCCGUGCCAGCAGCCGCGGUAAUACGGAGGGUGCGAGCGUUAUCCGGAUUUACUGGGUUUAAAGGGUGCGUAGGUGGGCUUAUAAGUCAGUGGUGAAAUCUCCGAGCUUAACUUGGAAACUGCCGUUGAUACUAUAGGUCUUGAAUUAUCUGGAGGUAAGCGGAAUAUGUCAUGUAGCGGUGAAAUGCUUAGAUAUGACAUAGAACACCAAUUGCGAAGGCAGCUUACUACAUAUAAAUUGACGCUGAGGCACGAAAGCGUGGGGAUCAAACA